GCUGGGCACAGUGGCACAUGCCUGUAGUCCCAGCUACUUGGGAGGCUGAGAUGGGAGGAUCAUUUGAGCCCAGGAGUUCUGGGCUGUAGUGGGCUAUGCCAAUUGGGUGUCUGCACUAAGUUUGGCAUCAAUAUGGUAACCUCCAGGGAGCAAGCAAAGGACCAGCAGGUUGCCUAAGGAGGGGUGAACCGGCCCAGGUUGGAAACGGAGCAGGUCAAAACUCCCAUGCUGAUCAGUAUGUAGUGGGAUCGUGCCUGUGAAUAGCCACUGUACUCCAGCCUGAGCAACAUAGUGAGACCCCAUCUCU
Molecule: signal recognition particle RNA, 307 nt
Filed under: Cebus imitator (Panamanian white-faced capuchin)
Lineage: Eukaryota; Metazoa; Chordata; Mammalia; Primates; Cebidae
Description: Metazoan signal recognition particle RNA (ENSCCAG00000010663.1)
Rfam family: Metazoan signal recognition particle RNA
About the family: The signal recognition particle (SRP) is a universally conserved ribonucleoprotein. It is involved in the co-translational targeting of proteins to membranes.
Source: RNAcentral